Molecule: unclassified non-coding RNA, 154 nt
Filed under: uncultured fungus
Lineage: Eukaryota; Fungi
Description: sequence contains ITS1
Source: RNAcentral
UUUUAGAAUUUUAUUUUUGGUUCGUCUAAAGACGAUAUGUUUUAUUGGAUUUUAAAGAAACAUCUACCAUCUAAAAAAGAUGGUAGAGUUUCAGUAGAAAAUAGGUCUUUCGACCCUUUUUUUAAUGAUCCUUCCGCAGGUUCACCUACGGAAA